RNAcentral lists this transfer RNA (76 nucleotides) under Propionibacterium sp. oral taxon 192 str. F0372. RNAcentral describes it as "tRNA-Asn". It matches the Rfam family "tRNA". Rfam says of the family: Transfer RNA (tRNA) molecules are approximately 80 nucleotides in length. Their secondary structure includes four short double-helical elements and three loops (D, anti-codon, and T loops). The record is from RNAcentral. RNAcentral also lists the same sequence under 1 other name. Lineage: Bacteria; Bacillati; Actinomycetota; Actinomycetes; Propionibacteriales; Propionibacteriaceae.
UCCCUGAUAGCUCAAUUGGCAGAGCAUCUGACUGUUAAUCAGAGGGUUCCUGGUUCGAGUCCAGGUCGGGGAGCCA